CCAGCUAAUCUUGUCCUAGUUCAAGACAGAUCACAUGAGUUAAACAUGCAGGGUUUAGUUUUCCAACUAGUCAUUAACAGGUUAAUUCUAACAGUACAACUGAAAACAUGCUCAGGGAUGAAGUUCAGAGCCCUCAACUGAAUUUGAGUUCCUUUUCUUGCAACAACUGACCCGCUCAAGCUUUGAUUCUGUUUUGAUUUGGUUGUACUAGAUAUGGGAAGAUGUGCAAUAAUCAGUCUCAUCACCUAUAGUUACCAUUAGUUAUUUGUUUAAAGAUACAGCGUGAAACAGGCCCUUCAAGCCACACCGCCCAGCAACACACUAAUUUAACCCUCACCUAAUCAUCGGACAAUUCACAAUGACCAAUUAAACAGUCCCCUCUCUCUUUCUCUCUCUCUCUCUUGAUACCUUUCAGUAAUUGGUGCUCCAGCUGUCAUUCACUGGAUUUAAGAAAGUGGAGUAGGAACAAACCUUGAGAUCCUUCAAGCCGGAUCUGCUACUCAUUUAGAAAUGUCUGAGAUUUUCACAAACUUUCAAGCAGCUUUGCAGCUCAUCAGCCAUUUCAAAUGGCUUUCCCGGCUGUUGGUGGGAUAUACACUCCGGAGAUCUUGUGUUAUCAUCUACAACCUCAUUCAUCAGGAUUGAUCUGAAGGUCUCUGUUCAAAUUAAGAAUGACUGCAGUAGGUCACCAAAAGCCAGUCAGAAAUUGGAAUGUGACUGAUGCACUGAGCUAUUUUAUCAUCAUCUCCUUAUAGAAUAGCCGACUGUUUUGACUAUUUAAAAUUCCCACUGGCUUCAAUGAUUGCAAUUGGCAGCAAGUCUAUCACUUUGUCUUUUCCAUCCACAUGUUUAAAAUCUUUUAAUGUCAUUUGCAGAGGUAAAUCCUGCUGGGAGGGAGAUAUACACCCAUCCCAAAGCAGUUUUCAUAGUAACAUUUGUUUUGUUUUUAUUUGUGGAUUAUCCCAUAUUCAACCAGAGUGGUUCAUAAUGUAACAUGCUCCACUUUGAAUCUUUGUUUUACUCACAGCUCAGCAGAAUUAUUUUCUAGACUGUUCAUUAUCUUCCACUUAAUCUAUCCUGAGUAUCUAUCCUGUGUAUCACACAUUCUGAGCAAUGCACUUCACCCAAUUAAUCUUAUUGCAGGUAUUCCUUCCCUUUUGUAUCCCUUCUACACAUUACACACUUGCAUUCUUCAGCCUGUAUAUUAUACAGUGUAUCACACACUUAAUUUCUUUAAAUUGAAAAUUAGGAAAGAUCUUGGAGAACUCUUAAAUUGAUCAUAAGCCUAUACAAGAAGUGGGAAGGUGACUUUACCCAGGGGCUAUUGGUGUAUGAAUAGGAGUCAAACAAAACUAUGA
Molecule: long non-coding RNA, 1358 nt
Organism: Hypanus sabinus (Atlantic stingray)
Lineage: Eukaryota; Metazoa; Chordata; Chondrichthyes; Myliobatiformes; Dasyatidae
Exons: 3
Source: RefSeq, a predicted model, not a curated record